ACCAUUUGGCCGCUCGCAUUCUACGCAGCUGUUCGGAACCCGGGUUCCUGGGCUCCUCACUCAGCUCAUUGUCUCUUAGUCUCCUGUCUCUUCGAGGAACAAGGCUCAGCUGGGAGGUCGCAGCCCACCCCAGGCGGUGGGUCCGGCAUACGCCCAGGUAGCAGACGUGCCCGCGGUGCUGGGGGACCUGGUGCUGGCCUCGCCUGGAGAGGGAGCGUGGGAGAAAACCGGGUUCAAACCGAAUUGAGAGAUGGAGCGUGAUGGAGGUGGGCACCCAAGCACUCCAAGACCAGCGGGGAGGCUUACAGAUCACCUGCCCGUUCCGCGGCCGGGAGAGGGCGCUCGCCCUUUACGGUCUCCCUCCCGCCCUGUCCCUGCUGCCACCCGGGUUUCUCACCUGGCUGCAGUGUCCAGGUCCCCUUGGGCGGAGAAGGCGAGGAGCAACAGCAGGAUGAGGAUGUGGAUAGUCAUCGUGGGCAGGGCGGGUCAGGAUCCGUGGCCCGUAGUUGCGGCCACCCCGCCCCGUUCCCGCACCGGGCUGAUCGCCUCUGGGUGCAGCUCUGGAGCCAGGUACCAGGGCCAGUCCCCACUUCCCAGGCGGGGAACACUGAGGCCAAAAGUCUGUGGGAAGAGGCCGCACCACACCAGAGGGGCAGGAUUCAAACCCGGGUCCCCGCUUCCCGCACCGCGGCUCCAGAGACCUCACUGGGUGUGUGGGGUCACACCAGCUGCUGUCUAUCCCCCUAGGAGGUCUGUGGAGACUCGCCCCCUUCAAAGCGUGGGGAAAUGGGGCGGGGCCAAUGACACCCGCAGGUAGCUAAGCAGCGGGAUUCCAAGAAAAGGGGUGGCGGCGGGGAAGCGCUGGCUCUGGUUGUAGAUGCGACCUCACCCUCACCCUGUCGGGAAGCCGGUUAGUAGACAGUUGGGACCCUGGAACCUCGGGGGCCAGGCAAUGCAGGGCAAGUGCACAUGCGGCCCCCUGGAGGGCGUGGAGCGAGGGAGACCCCAAACACACUGAGGAGCGCCCCUCCGGAAGAGAAAAGGCCGAGGUGUCAGGCACUCGCCGGUGAGGGCUCCAGUUGCACUGAAGCAGGUGUAGCCAGGGCUGUUCAACGAGGAGGGUGUCCUGGGUCAACCAGGUCGAGUGCACAGUAUUGUGGGGGACCCAGGACCCCGUGGCCAGGCCCUGAGGGUGGAAGGGUGGGUGCAGACGCCAUGUCUGCAGCAGAGGCAGAGGGACCUCGUCUUCACCUCUGUAAGAUGGGUAGGCCCUGCCACCUUACAGCUGCAACUCCCACUGACCUCCAUGGAGGGCAAGUCCCCAGCCCUAAGCCCCAAGCCAUUCUAGGGGA
This 1352-nucleotide long non-coding RNA is filed under the name Homo sapiens (human). Its description in RNAcentral is "non-protein coding lnc-IRF3-2:2". The record is from RNAcentral. Lineage: Eukaryota; Metazoa; Chordata; Mammalia; Primates; Hominidae.